UUACGGUCACAUCACGUUGAAACACCAGUUCUCGUAAGAUUACCGAAGUUAAGCAACGUCAAGCCUGGUCAGUACCAAAUGGGAGACAGCUUGGGAAUAGUAGGUGA
Acanthosepion pharaonis is the source of this 107-nucleotide non-coding RNA. The record is from the annotation of a GenBank genome assembly. Lineage: Eukaryota; Metazoa; Mollusca; Cephalopoda; Sepiida; Sepiidae.